This 255-nucleotide unclassified non-coding RNA is filed under the name Hevea brasiliensis (rubber tree). Lineage: Eukaryota; Viridiplantae; Streptophyta; Magnoliopsida; Malpighiales; Euphorbiaceae. The record is from RNAcentral.
GCGACGAUGUGAGGAAGGAUCAGCACCACGCCCGUGGCGAUCGCAGCGUAAAAACCGGGACGCUUCAACACCUGCCGGCAGGCUGGCAAAAGCAGAAUGCUGCUCGCCAUUCCGAAGAACAGAACCACAGCAUUGUAUUUUGUUAGCACGGCCACGGCCGACCAGAAGCCGAACGCAAUCCAGUCACGCAUGCGAUUGGAUUGGACCGCGCGAAGAAAGUGAAAGACAACAGCGGGCCACGAUGUGAGCUGAAGG